RNAcentral lists this ribosomal RNA (376 nucleotides) under uncultured organism. Its description in RNAcentral is "partial 16S ribosomal RNA". It matches the Rfam family "Bacterial small subunit ribosomal RNA", at positions 528 to 897 of the family's 1533-position model. The record is from RNAcentral.
AGAGGUGCGAGCGUUAAUCGGAAUUACUGGGGCGUAAAGGGGCGCGUAGGUGGAUAGUCAAGUCAGUUGUGAAAGGGCCUGGGGCUCAACCUGGGGAACUGCAAUUGAGACUGGUUGUCUAGAGUCGAAUAGAGGGGAGCGGAAUUUCCGGUGUAGCGGUGAAAUGCGUAGAUAUCGGAAGGAACACCAGUGGCGAAGGCGGCUCUCUGGAUUCAGACUGACACUGAGGCGCGAAAGCGUGGGUAGCGAACAGGAUUAGAUACCCUGGUAGUCCACGCUGUAAACGAUGAGUACUAGCUGUUGGCAGGCAUGACCUGUCAGUAGCGGAGCAAACGCAUUAAGUACUCCGCCUGGGGACUACGGCCGCAAAGGCUAA